GACAUACAACAGUAGGGAUUCGCAUGUGGUCACCCACCAUACUACUAACCUACCGGCGUGUGGCUUAAGUACGGCUGAGCGGACGGGAAGCCCUGUUCUCCACACCCUAUGGUCGUAUGU
This 120-nucleotide ribosomal RNA is filed under the name Aspergillus nidulans FGSC A4. Lineage: Eukaryota; Fungi; Ascomycota; Eurotiomycetes; Eurotiales; Aspergillaceae. The record is from RNAcentral.